Molecule: ribosomal RNA, 443 nt
Filed under: uncultured bacterium
Lineage: Bacteria
Description: partial 16S ribosomal RNA
Rfam family: Bacterial small subunit ribosomal RNA
Source: RNAcentral
CCUACGGGGGGCAGCAGUGGGGAAUAUUGGGCAAUGGGCGCAAGCCUGACCCAGCAACGCCGCGUGAAGGAAGAAGGCUUUCGGGUUGUAAACUUCUUUUCUGAGGGACGAAGAAAGUGACGGUACCUCAGGAAUAAGCCACGGCUAACUACGUGCCAGCAGCCGCGGUAAUACGUAGGGGGCAAGCGUUAUCCGGAUUUAUGGGGUGUAAAGGGCGGGUAGGCGGGAAAGCAAGUCAGAUGUGAAAACUCAGGGCUCAACCCUGAGCCGGCAUUUGAAACUGUUUUUCUUGCGUGCUGGAGAGGCAAUCGGAAUUCCGUGUGUAGCGGUGAACUGCGUAGAUAUCCGGAGGAACACCAGUGGCGAAGGCGGAUUGCUGGACAGUAACUGACGCUGAGGCGCGAACGCGUGGGGAGCAAACAGGAUUAGAUACCCGGGUAGUC